This 406-nucleotide unclassified non-coding RNA is filed under the name soil metagenome. RNAcentral describes it as "partial contains 5.8S ribosomal RNA, internal transcribed spacer 2, and large subunit ribosomal RNA". The stretch from base 1 to 121 matches the Rfam family "5.8S ribosomal RNA", at positions 35 to 154 of the family's 154-position model. The record is from RNAcentral.
GAUGAAGAACGCAGCGAAAUGCGAUAAGUAAUGUGAAUUGCAGAAUUCAGUGAAUCAUCGAAUCUUUGAACGCACCUUGCGCCCUUUGGCCAUUCCGAAGGGCAUGCCUGUUUUAGUAUCAUGAACACCUCAACUCUUCAUGGUUUUCCAUGAUGAGCUUGGACUUUGGGGGUCUUGCUGGCCUGUGGGUCGGCUCCUCUCAAAUGAAUCAGCUUGCCGGUUUUUGGUGGGCAUCACAGGUGUGAUAACUAUCUACGCUUGUGGUUUUCCACCAGGGUAACCUUCAGCAGUGGAGGUUCACUGGAGCUUACAAAUGUCUCUCCUCUGUGAGGACAGCCCUUUGAAUGUUUGAUCUCAAAUCAGGUAGGACUACCCGCUGAACUUAAGCAUAUCAAUAAGCGGAGGA